CCUACGGGUGGCUGCAGUGGGGAAUAUUGGACAAUGGAGGCAACUCUGAUCCAGCCAUGCCGCGUGAGUGAUGAAGGCCUUCGGGUUGUAAAGCUCUUUAGCUAGGGAAAAUAAUGAUUGUACCUAGAGAAUAAGCCCCGGCUAACUCUGUGCCAGCAGCCGCGGUAAUACAGAGGGGGCUAGCGUUGUUCGGAAUUACUGGGCGUAAAGCGUGCGUAGGCGGCUUUCCAAGUCAGGCGUGAAAUCCCGAGGCUUAACCUCGGAAUUGCGCUUGA
RNAcentral lists this ribosomal RNA (275 nucleotides) under uncultured bacterium. Its description in RNAcentral is "partial 16S ribosomal RNA". It matches the Rfam family "Bacterial small subunit ribosomal RNA", at positions 338 to 630 of the family's 1533-position model. The record is from RNAcentral.